AACUCAUGGGUUCACUACAAGCCUAUGAAGAGAGGUUCAAUAAGAAAAAUAAGGAGCCUUUGAAGCAAGCUUUACAAGCAAAACUCUCUUUCAAGGAAGAGAGUAGUGAAAAGACACAUCAAACGAGUCAACGCGGUCGUGGUCAAGUACGUGGCUAAGGACGAGGGCGAGGAUAUAUCAAACGUGGAGGCUAUAGUUCUUACAAAAAUGAAGAAAGAA
RNAcentral lists this long non-coding RNA (219 nucleotides) under Nicotiana benthamiana. RNAcentral describes it as "long non-coding RNA (NBEN_LNC000587)". Lineage: Eukaryota; Viridiplantae; Streptophyta; Magnoliopsida; Solanales; Solanaceae. The record is from RNAcentral.